GACGAACGCUGGCGGCGUGCUUAACACAUGCAAGUCGAACGGAAAGGCCCUGCUUUUGUGGGGUGCUCGAGUGGCGAACGGGUGAGUAACACGUGAGUAACCUGCCCUUGACUUUGGGAUAACUUCAGGAAACUGGGGCUAAUACCGGAUAGGAGCUCCUGCUGCAUGGUGGGGGUUGGAAAGUUUCGGCGGUUGGGGAUGGACUCGCGGCUUAUCAGCUUGUUGGUGGGGUAGUGGCUUACCAAGGCUUUGACGGGUAGCCGGCCUGAGAAGGUGACCGGCCACAUUGGGACUGAGAUACGGCCCAGACUCCUACAGGAGGCAGCAGUGGGGAAUAUUGCACAAUGGGCGGAAGCCUGAUGCAGCAACGCCGCGUGCGGGAUGACGGCCUUCGGGUUGUAAACCGCUUUCGCCUGUGACGAAGCGUGAGUGACGGUAAUGGGUAAAGAAGCACCGGCUAACUACGUG
This 468-nucleotide ribosomal RNA is filed under the name uncultured bacterium. RNAcentral describes it as "partial 16S ribosomal RNA". It matches the Rfam family "Bacterial small subunit ribosomal RNA", at positions 28 to 507 of the family's 1533-position model. The record is from RNAcentral.